ACAGGUGCUGCAUGGUGUCGUCAGCUCGUGUYGUGAGAUGUUGGGUUAAGUCCCGUAACGAGCGCAACCCUUGUCCUUWUUUACCAGCACGUAAUGGUGGGCACUCUAAGGAGACUGCCGGUGACAAACCGGAGRAAGGUGGGGAUGACGUCAAGUCAUCAUGGCCCUUACGGCCRGGGCUACACACGUGCUACAAUGGUUGGUACAACGGGCUGCCAAGUCGCGAGACGGAGCUAAUCCCAUAAAACCAAUCGUAGUCCGGA
Molecule: ribosomal RNA, 263 nt
Filed under: uncultured Pseudomonas sp.
Lineage: Bacteria; Pseudomonadati; Pseudomonadota; Gammaproteobacteria; Pseudomonadales; Pseudomonadaceae
Description: partial 16S ribosomal RNA
Rfam family: Bacterial small subunit ribosomal RNA
Source: RNAcentral